Molecule: ribosomal RNA, 781 nt
Filed under: uncultured archaeon
Lineage: Archaea
Description: bacterial SSU rRNA
Rfam family: Archaeal small subunit ribosomal RNA
Source: RNAcentral
GGUUAUCCGAGUGGUUUCUGCUAAAGAAACCUUUUGUCAGUCCUAGAAACACUAACGAAUAAGGGGUGGGCAAGUUCUGGUGUCAGCCGCCGCGGUAAAACCAGCACCUCAAGUGGUCAGGAUGAUUAUUGGGCCUAAAGCAUCCGUAGCCCGUUUUGUAAGUUUUCGGUUAAAUCCAUGCGCUUAACGUAUGGGCUGCCGGGAAUACUGCAUAACUAGGAAGUGGGAGAGGUAGACGGUACUCGGUAGGAAGGGGUAAAAUCCUUUGAUCUAUUGAUGACCACCUGUGGCGAAGGCGGUCUACCAGAACACGUUCGACGGUGAGGGAUGAAAGCUGGGGGAGCAAACCGGAUUAGAUACCCGGGUAGUCCCAGCUGUAAACUAUGCAAACUCAGUGAUGCAUUGGCUUGUGGCCAAUGCAGUGCUGCAGGGAAGCCGUUAAGUUUGCCGCCUGGGAAGUACGUACGCAAGUAUGAAACUUAAAGGAAUUGGCGGGGGAGCACCACAAGGGGUGAAGUCUGCGGUUCAAUUGGAGUCAACGCCAGAAAUCUUACCCGGAGAGACAGCAGAAUGAAGGUCAAGCUGAAGACUUUACCAGACAAGCUGAGAGGUGGUGCAUGGCCGUCGCCAGCUCGUGCCGUGAGAUGUCCUGUUAAGUCAGGUAACGAGCGAGAUCCCUGCCUCUAGUUGCCACCAUUACUCUCAGGAGUAGUGGGGCGAAUUAGCGGGACCGCCGCAGUUAAUGCGGAGGAAGGAGGGGGCCACGGCAGGUCAGUAUGCC